CAUAGUCAUAUGUCUGAGUUCAUAUUCUGCAUGAGACAGGAAACUUAAGUCAACAGCAGCUGGUAUAAGGCAGCUAGGAUAGAGACAACCAUGCUGUUUGUCAAAACUGUGUUAAGACUAGUAUGUCCCAAAAUAUGUGUUUUCAACUUUAAAGCA
Long non-coding RNA from Sapajus apella (tufted capuchin), 156 nucleotides. RefSeq lists it as uncharacterized. The record is from RefSeq and is a predicted model, not a curated record. NCBI's taxonomy places the organism in Eukaryota, Metazoa, Chordata, Mammalia, Primates, Cebidae. The transcript has 3 exons.